CCUACGGGGUGCAGCAGUGAGGAAUAUUGGUCAAUGGACGAGAGUCUGAACCAGCCAAGUAGCGUGAAAGAUGACUGCCCUAUGGGUUGUAAACUUCUUUUAUAUGGGAAUAAAAUGUUCCACGUGUGGGAUUUUGUAUGUACCAUAUGAAUAAGGAUCGGCUAACUCCGUUCCAGCAGCCGCGGUAAUACAGAGGAUACGAGCGUUAUCCGGAUUUAUUGGGUUUAAAGGGAGCGUAGGUGGAUUGGUAAGUCAGUUGUGAAAGUUUGCGGCUCAACCGUAAAAUUGCAGUUGAAACUGGCAGUCUUGAGUACAGUAGAGGUGGGCGGAAUUCGUGGUGUAGCGGUGAAAUGCUUAGAUAUCACGAAGAACUCCGAUUGCGAAGGCAGUUCACUGGACUGCAACUGACACUGAGGCUCGAAAGUGUGGGUAUCAAACAGGAUUAGAUACCCCAGUAGUC
Molecule: ribosomal RNA, 460 nt
Filed under: uncultured bacterium
Lineage: Bacteria
Description: partial 16S ribosomal RNA
Rfam family: Bacterial small subunit ribosomal RNA
Source: RNAcentral